RNAcentral lists this ribosomal RNA (253 nucleotides) under uncultured bacterium. RNAcentral describes it as "partial 16S ribosomal RNA". It matches the Rfam family "Bacterial small subunit ribosomal RNA", at positions 524 to 776 of the family's 1533-position model. The record is from RNAcentral.
UACAGAGGUCCCAAGCGUUGUUCGGAUUCACUGGGCGUAAAGGGUGCGUAGGUGGCCAGGUAAGUUCGGUGUGAAAGCUCGGAGCUUAACUCCGAAAUGGCAUUGAAUACUAUCUGGCUGGAGGGUCGGAGGGGAGACUGGAAUUCUCGGUGUAGCAGUGAAAUGCGUAGAUAUCGAGAGGAACACCAGUGGCGAAGGCGAGUCUCUGGACGACUCCUGACACUGAGGCACGAAAGCGUGGGGAGCAAACAGG